UGAGGUGGCGAGUGGCGCACGGGUGAGUAAUACAUCGGAACGUGUCCUAUCGUGGGGGAUAACUGAUCGAAAGAUCAGCUAAUACCGCAUAAGACCUGAGGGUGAAAGUGGGGGAUCGCAAGACCUCACGCGAUUGGAGCGGCCGAUGCCCGAUUAGCUAGUUGGUGAGGUAAAGGCUCACCAAGGCGACGAUCGGUAGCUGGUCUGAGAGGACGACCAGCCACACUGGGACUGAGACACGGCCCAGACUCCUACGGGAGGCAGCAGUGGGGAAUUUUGGACAAUGGGGGCAACCCUGAUCCAGCCAUGCCGCGUGCAGGAUGAAGGUCUUCGGAUUGUAAACUGCUUUUGUCAGGGAAGAAAAGGUCUGUGUUAAUACCAUAGACUGCUGACGGUACCUGAAGAAUAAGCACCGGCUAA
RNAcentral lists this ribosomal RNA (420 nucleotides) under Sutterella sp. RNAcentral describes it as "bacterial SSU rRNA". It matches the Rfam family "Bacterial small subunit ribosomal RNA", at positions 84 to 500 of the family's 1533-position model. Lineage: Bacteria; Pseudomonadati; Pseudomonadota; Betaproteobacteria; Burkholderiales; Sutterellaceae. The record is from RNAcentral.